GCUAUGGUAGCUUAGUGGUUAUGGCUUUGAGUUGCAGAUAAGAAGGUCAUGUGUUCAAAUCCCAGCACCACCA
Pangasianodon gigas (Mekong giant catfish) is the source of this 73-nucleotide non-coding RNA. NCBI's taxonomy places the organism in Eukaryota, Metazoa, Chordata, Actinopteri, Siluriformes, Pangasiidae. The record is from the annotation of a GenBank genome assembly.